UACAGGGGGGGCAAGCGUUGUUCGGAAUUACUGGGCGUAAAGGGCCAGUAGGCGGCCAACUAAGUCCGACGUGAAAUCCCCAGGCUUAACCUGGGAACUGCGUCGGAUACUGGAUGGCUUGAAUUCGGGAGAGGGAUGCAGAAUUCCAGGUGUAGCGGUGAAAUGCGUAGAUAUCGGGAGGAACACCAGUGGCGAAGGCGACUUCCUGGCCUGUUCUUGACGCUGAGGCGCGAAAGCUAGGGUAGCAAACGGG
RNAcentral lists this ribosomal RNA (253 nucleotides) under uncultured bacterium. Its description in RNAcentral is "partial 16S ribosomal RNA". It matches the Rfam family "Bacterial small subunit ribosomal RNA", at positions 524 to 776 of the family's 1533-position model. The record is from RNAcentral.